RNAcentral lists this ribosomal RNA (435 nucleotides) under uncultured bacterium. Its description in RNAcentral is "partial 16S ribosomal RNA". It matches the Rfam family "Bacterial small subunit ribosomal RNA", at positions 29 to 507 of the family's 1533-position model. The record is from RNAcentral.
AACGAACGCUGGCGGCAUGCCUAACACAUGCAAGUCGAACGAUUGCCUUCGGGUGAUAGUGGCGCACGGGUGCGUAACGCGUGGGAAUCUGCCCUUAGGUUCGGAAUAACAGCUGGAAACGGCUGCUAAUACCGGAUGAUAUCGCGAGAUCAAAGAUUUAUCGCCUGAGGAUGAGCCCGCGUUGGAUUAGGUAGUUGGUGGGGUAAAGGCCUACCAAGCCGACGAUCCAUAGCUGGUCUGAGAGGAUGAUCAGCCACACUGGGACUGAGACACGGUCCAGACUCCUACGGGAGGCAGCAGUGGGGAAUAUUGGACAAUGGGCGCAAGCCUGAUCCAGCAAUGCCGCGUGAGUGAUGAAGGCCCUAGGGUUGUAAAGCUCUUUUACCCGGGAAGAUAAUGACGGUACCGGGAGAAUAAGCCCCGGCUAACUCCGUG